AUCAUUAUUGAUAAAAUUGAUUAAUUAAUGUUUUAUUUGUGUUUGAGUGCAAGUAAUCCAAGAGACCCAAUAACAUUGGGUUUGAGCCCAAUGACCGGCAGCCCAAGCUCAACAAAUUCUCCAGCAUCCGUGAUGAGGCGAUCCAACGGUUCCUAACCUAAAAUUCCCACGCAUCCACGUCAACGGGCUGAAGCAAGUGAUUUCCCAACG
This 210-nucleotide long non-coding RNA is filed under the name Phoenix dactylifera (date palm). Its description in RNAcentral is "long non-coding RNA (PDAC_LNC004768)". Lineage: Eukaryota; Viridiplantae; Streptophyta; Magnoliopsida; Arecales; Arecaceae. The record is from RNAcentral.